UUUGACUAUCAGCUAGCAUAAAAAGACGAGUCAUUGAAAUGUCGCAUGGUUGAUAUUAACUUAACUACAAGCUGUUGAACCUUGUGAUGGUGAUGUCCUUGAAUGUGUCUGCAGGAGUGCAACUCCAUGGAAGUUGCUGGAUUUGAUAUCUCUUCCUGCUGUGCUCCAUUUCCUUCAUCGCAGGAUUCAAUGCAAAUAUUUACAGAAGGAUUUACAUUAGAGAGCUCUUACACUCGGGGUUCAAAGAAUUUAGCAUGGAAGGAGAUUAAAUUUACAGGUCACAACUCUGUAGAUCUCGAAAUCAACAUCUCCGGCUAAACCGGUAUAAAGUCUCCAUCAAAGAGUGUGAAUUCUUGAAUAUGCAAGGCUUUUUUUUAUCUCUUUUAUUUUAUUGGAACACAAAGUCUAAAUAGUUAGCCAGUGUGAUGUGAGUCUAAAUUUCUAUGGUGUAGGAAACCCUUUUUCACCAAACAAUAACCAAUCUUUGAAACA
Molecule: long non-coding RNA, 492 nt
Organism: Mangifera indica (mango)
Lineage: Eukaryota; Viridiplantae; Streptophyta; Magnoliopsida; Sapindales; Anacardiaceae
Exons: 2
Source: RefSeq, a predicted model, not a curated record